GACGAACGCUGGCGGCGUGCUUAACACAUGCAAGUCGAACGGAAAGGCCCUGCUUUUGUGGGGUGCUCGAGUGGCGAACGGGUGAGUAACACGUGAGUAACCUGCCCUUGACUUUGGGAUAACUUCAGGAAACUGGGGCUAAUACCGGAUAGGAGCUCCUGCUGCAUGGUGGGGGUUGGAAAGUUUCGGCGGUUGGGGAUGGACUCGCGGCUUAUCAGCUUGUUGGUGGGGUAGUGGCUUACCAAGGCUUUGACGGGUAGACGGCCUGAGAGGGUGACCGGCCACAUUGGGACUGAGAUACGGCCCAGACUCCUACGGGAGGCAGCAGUGGGGAAGAUUGCACAAUGGGCGGAAGCCUGAUGCAGCAACGCCGCGUGCGGGAUGACGGCCUUCGGGUUGUAAACCGCUUUCGCCUGUGACGAAGCGUGAGUGACGGUAAUGGGUAAAGAAGCACCGGCUAACUACGUG
This 468-nucleotide ribosomal RNA is filed under the name uncultured bacterium. RNAcentral's name for it is "partial 16S ribosomal RNA". It matches the Rfam family "Bacterial small subunit ribosomal RNA", at positions 28 to 507 of the family's 1533-position model. The record is from RNAcentral.